GAAAUGCGAUAAGUAAUGUGAAUUGCAGAAUUUAGUGAAUCAUCGAAUCUUUGAACGCAUAUUGCGCCCCUUGGUAUUCCGAGGGGCAUGCCUGUUCGAGCGUCAUUAGUAAUACUCAAGUUUUGCUUGAUAUUGGGUUACACUAGUAAUAGCUAACCUUAAAACUAGUGGUGUUAUCACUAGGUUUCAAGUAUAGUAAAUUUAUUACUUGGAGACUUUGUGGUUAAAAACCAUUAAUUCUAAAUCUUUAAGGUUGACCUCGAAUCAGGUAGGAAUACCCGCUGAACUUAA
Molecule: unclassified non-coding RNA, 291 nt
Filed under: uncultured Ascomycota
Lineage: Eukaryota; Fungi; Ascomycota
Description: sequence contains ITS1
Rfam family: 5.8S ribosomal RNA (bases 1-105)
Source: RNAcentral